UGCUAAUACAUGCAGUCGAACGAGAGCGACCGGUGCUUGCACUGGUCAAUCUAGUGGCGAACGGGUGAGUAACACGUGGGUAACCUGCCCAUCAGAGGGGGAUAACAUUCGGAAACGGAUGCUAAAACCGCAUAGGUCUUCGAACCGCAUGGUUUGAAGAGGAAAAGAGGCGCAAGCUUCUGCUGAUGGAUGGACCCGCGGUGCAUUAGCUAGUUGGUGAGGUAACGGCUCACCAAGGCCGUGAUGCAUAGCCGACCUGAGAGGGUGAUCGGCCACAUUGGGACUGAGACACGGUCCAAACUCCUACGGGAGGCAGCAGUAGGGAAUCUUCCGCAAUGGACGCAAGUCUGACGGAGCAACGCCGCGUGAGUGAAGAAGGUUUUCGGAUCGUAAAACUCUGUUGUUAGAGAAGAACAAGUGCUAGAGUAACUGUUAGCGCCUUGACGGUAUCUAACCAGAAAGCCACGGCUAACUACGUGCCAGCAGCCGCGGUAAUACGUAGGUGGCAAGCGUUGUCCGGAUUUAUUGGGCGUAAAGCGAGCGCAGGCGGUUCCUUAAGUCUGAUGUGAAAGCCCCCGGCUCAACCGGGGAGGGUCAUUGGAAACUGGGGAACUUGAGUGCAGAAGAGGAGAGUGGAAUUCCAUGUGUAGCGGUGAAAUGCGUAGAUAUAUGGAGGAACACCAGUGGCGAAGGCGACUCUCUGGUCUGUAACUGACGCUGAGGCUCGAAAGCGUGGGUAGCAAACAGGAUUAGAUACCCUGGUAGUCCACGCCGUAAACGAUGAGUGCUAAGUGUUGGAGGGUUUCCGCCCUUCAGUGCUGCAGUUAACGCAUUAAGCACUCCG
Molecule: ribosomal RNA, 844 nt
Filed under: uncultured Granulicatella sp.
Lineage: Bacteria; Bacillati; Bacillota; Bacilli; Lactobacillales; Carnobacteriaceae
Description: bacterial SSU rRNA
Rfam family: Bacterial small subunit ribosomal RNA
Source: RNAcentral